GGGAAUAUAGUUAAAAAUAACAUUUAAUUUGCAAUUAAAAGGUACCGUUAAGGUUUUUCUCA
This 62-nucleotide transfer RNA is filed under the name Tuxedo elongatus. Its description in RNAcentral is "tRNA-Ala". It matches the Rfam family "tRNA". From Rfam's summary of the family: Transfer RNA (tRNA) molecules are approximately 80 nucleotides in length. Lineage: Eukaryota; Metazoa; Arthropoda; Insecta; Hemiptera; Miridae. The record is from RNAcentral.